CACCGCGGUUACACGAGGAGCCCAAAUUGACAACACUCGGCAUAAAGCGUGGUUAAUUAAUUUUUAUACUAAAGUCGAACCACCUCAAAACUGUCAUAAGUUCUUCGAGGCAGGGAAGCACAACAACGAAAGUGACUUUAAAUUAAAUGACUCCACGAAAGCUAGGGAA
Molecule: ribosomal RNA, 169 nt
Filed under: Trimma emeryi (Emery's goby)
Lineage: Eukaryota; Metazoa; Chordata; Actinopteri; Gobiiformes; Gobiidae
Description: partial 12S rRNA
Source: RNAcentral